This 503-nucleotide ribosomal RNA is filed under the name uncultured Caryophanales bacterium. RNAcentral describes it as "bacterial SSU rRNA". It matches the Rfam family "Bacterial small subunit ribosomal RNA", at positions 28 to 507 of the family's 1533-position model. The record is from RNAcentral. Lineage: Bacteria; Bacillati; Bacillota; Bacilli; Caryophanales.
GUCGCGACGACGAGACGCGCGCGGGCGGUCGGUCUACCUAAUACAUGACAGCGAGCGGUAUUGUUCCGUCGGGACAGUAGCGGCGGACGGUGAGUAACACGUAGGUAACCUGCCUAUAAGAUCGGGAUAACUAUCGGAAACGAUAGCUAAGACCGGAUAACUGGUUUUCUCGCAUGAGAGAAUUAUGAAACACGGAGCAAUCUGUGGCUUAUAGAUGGGCCUGCGGCGCAUUAGCUAGUUGGUAGGGUAAUGGCCUACCAAGGCGACGAUGCGUAGCCGACCUGAGAGGGUGAACGGCCACACUGGGACUGAGACACGGCCCAGACUCCUACGGGAGGCAGCAGUAGGAAUCUUCCGCAAUGGACGCAAGUCUGACGGAGCAACGCCGCGUGAGUGAUGAAGGUUUUCGGAUCGUAAAGCUCUGUUGCCCUAGACGAACAGCAAGGCGAGUAACUGCGCUUUGUGUGACGGUAUAGGAGAAGAAAGCCCCGGCUAACUACGUG